RNAcentral lists this ribosomal RNA (391 nucleotides) under uncultured bacterium. Its description in RNAcentral is "bacterial SSU rRNA". It matches the Rfam family "Bacterial small subunit ribosomal RNA", at positions 102 to 520 of the family's 1533-position model. The record is from RNAcentral.
ACGGGUGAGUAGCGCGUGGGAACCUGCCUUGGAGUGGGGGAUAACCGAGGGAAACUUCGGCUAAUACCGCAUACGCCCCGGCGUGAGCCGGGGGAAAGAUUGAUCGCUCCAAGAGGGGCCCGCGUCGGAUUAGGUAGUUGGUGGGGUAACGGCCUACCAAGCCUGUGAUCCGUAGCUGGUCUGAGAGGAUGAUCAGCCACACUGGGACUGAGACACGGCCCAGACCCCUACGGGAGGCAGCAGUGGGGAAUAUUGGACAAUGGGCGCAAGCCUGAUCCAGCAAUGCCGCGUGAGUGAUGAAGGCCUUAGGGUUGUAAAGCUCUUUCGCCCGCGACGAUGAUGACGGUAGCGGGAGAAGAAGCCCCGGCUAACUUCGUGCCAGCAGCCGCGG